RNAcentral lists this ribosomal RNA (393 nucleotides) under uncultured bacterium. RNAcentral's name for it is "partial 16S ribosomal RNA". It matches the Rfam family "Bacterial small subunit ribosomal RNA", at positions 523 to 918 of the family's 1533-position model. The record is from RNAcentral.
AUACGGAAGGUCCGGGCGUUAUCCGGAUUUAUUGGGUUUAAAGGGAGCGCAGGCGGAGAUGCAAGCGUGACGUCAAAUUUCGGGGCUCAACCCCGUCUCGCGUCGCGAACUGCGUCCCUUGGUUGCGGGAAGGGGAGGCGGAACUCGUGGUGUAGCGGUGAAAUGCAUAGAUAUCACGAAGAACUCCGAUCGCGAAGGCAGCCUUCCGGCCCGUCAACGACGUUCAUGCUCGAAGGUGCGGGUAUCAAACAGGAUUAGAUACCCUGGUAGUCCGCACAGUAAACGAUGGACACCCGCGGUUUGGCCUGUAUGGCUGAGCCGCCAAGCGAAAGCGUUAAGUGUCCCACCUGGGGAGUACGCCGGCAACGGUGAAACUCAAAUGAAUUGACGGGG